UAGGAUGUUGAUCUUGCUCAGGAUGAACGCUGCGGUAAGCUUAACAAAUGCAAGUCGAACCGAAAUCUUAAGGGAUUUAGUGGCGGACGGGUGAGUAACGCGUGAGAAUCUACAAUUCAGGUCUGGGACAACCAUUGGAAACGGUGGCUAAUACCGGAUGUGCCGAGAGGUGAAAGGCUUGCUGCCUGAAAAUGAGCUCGCGUCUGAUUAGCUAGUUGGUGUGGUAAGAGCGCACCAAGGCGACGAUCAGUAGCUGGUCUGAGAGGAUGACCAGCCACACUGGGACUGAGACACGGGCCCAGACUCCUACGGGAGGCAGCAGUGGGGAAUUUUCCGCAAUGGGCGAAAGCCUGACGGAGCAAUACCGCGUGAGGGAGGAAGGCUCUUGGGUCGUAAACCUCUUUUCUCAAGGAAUAAGAAAGUGAAGGUACUUGAGGAAUAAGCAUCGGCUAACUCCGUGCCAGCAGCCGCGGUAAUACGGAGGAUGCAAGCGUUAUCCGGAAUGAUUGGGCGUAAAGGGUCCGCAGGUGGCAUUGAAAGUCUGCUGUUAAAGAGUUUGGCUCAACCAGAUAAAAGCAGUGGAAACUACAAAGCUAGAGUGCGUUCGGGGCAGAAGGAAUUCCUGGUGUAGCGGUGAAAUGCGUAGAGAUCAGGAAGAACACCGGUGGCGAAAGCGUUCUGCUAGGCCUGCACUGACACUGAGGGACGAAAGCUAGGGGAGCGAAUGGGAUUAGAUACCCCAGUAGUCCUAGCCGUAAACGAUGGAUACUAGGCGUGGCUUGUAUCGACCCAAGCCGUGCCCGGAGCUAACGCGUUAAGUAUCCCGCCUGGGGAGUACGCAGGCAACUGUGAAACUCAAAGGAAUUGACGGGGGCCCGCACAAGCGGUGGAGUAUGUGGUUUAAUUCGAUGCAACGCGAAGAACCUUACCAAGACUUGACAUGUCGCGAAUUUUCUGGAAAGGGAAAAGUGCCUUAGGGAGCGCGAACACAGGUGGUGCAUGGCUGUCGUCAGCUCGUGUCGUGAGAUGUUGGGUUAAGUCCCGCAACGAGCGCAACCCUCGUUUUUAGUUGCCAGCAUUAAGUUGGCGCACUCUAGAGAGACUGCCGGUGACAAACCGGGAGGAAGGUGGGGAAUGACGUCAAGUCAGCAUGUGCCCCCUUACGGUUCUUGGGCUACACACGUACUACAAUGCUACGGACAGAGGGCAGCUACACAGCGAUGUGAUGCAAAUCCACGAAACCGUAGCUCAGUUCAGAUCGCAGGCUGCAACUCGCCUGCGUGAAGGAGGAAUCGCUAGUAAUUGCAGGUCAGCAUACUGCAGUGAAUUCGUUCCCGGGCCUUGUAGCACACCGCCCGUCACACCAUGGAAGCUGGCAACGCCCGAAGUCAUUACUCCAACUUUUCGGAGAGGAGGAUGCGCUAAGCAGUGCUGGUGACUGGGGUGAAGUCGUAACAAGGUAGCCGUACCGGAAGGUGUGGCUGGAUCACCUCCUUUAAAGGGAGACCUAAACCCCUGAAUCUUGAAAGCAAAAAGCAAAUAGAGAUUGAGUUGGUCUACUUAAGGUCGGUCGAGAUUGCUAGAGCUUUCAAAGCAUCACUGUUUCGGUUAUUAGUUAAGACUAUUAAAAGACUGGAAAAUUUCACCACCUAACCGCAAAGCCUGAAAAACGGCAAACUUAAACUGCUGGGUCCAAUCCAUCCAAAACCCUUGAAACCUGUAUAGAAACGCGAAGCUGGAAACCACAGCUUUAUUUUGGAUUAUAUGAGUUGAUCCUGAAGAACCAUUAAGUUGGGUCACCAAUCAUGCUUAAUGGUGGAUACUCUAGACACUACAAGGCGAAGUC
This 1846-nucleotide ribosomal RNA is filed under the name Aliinostoc sp. CB02. RNAcentral describes it as "bacterial SSU rRNA". The stretch from base 1 to 1497 matches the Rfam family "Bacterial small subunit ribosomal RNA". Lineage: Bacteria; Bacillati; Cyanobacteriota; Cyanophyceae; Nostocales; Nodulariaceae. The record is from RNAcentral.